GAUGAACGCUGGCGGCGUGCCUAAUACAUGCAAGUCGAACGGCGUGCAGCAAUGUGCGCAGUGGCGACCGGGUGCGUAACACGUAGCUGACCUGCCCCUCAGCGGGGGACAACUGCUGGAAACGGCAGCUAAUACCGCAUGAGGUCGGGGGGACUAGACGCCCCCGACGAAACUUCCGGGGCUGAGGGAGGGAGCUGCGGCCCAUCAGGUAGUUGGUGCGGUAACGGCGCACCAAGCCGACGACGGGUAGGGGGCCUGAGAGGGUGGUCCCCCACAC
Molecule: ribosomal RNA, 277 nt
Filed under: uncultured bacterium
Lineage: Bacteria
Description: partial 16S ribosomal RNA
Rfam family: Bacterial small subunit ribosomal RNA
Source: RNAcentral